GAGGAACUCAUUUAAUUUUCGCAAUUACCCAAGAGGUCACUUUUAUUGCUUUUUGUUUCCAUUUUGCUUCCCAGGUGGUGCUAGUGGUAGAGAAUCUGCCUGCUGAUACAGGAGACACAGGUUGGAACCCUGGGUCGGGAAGAUCCCCUGGAGAAGGAAAUGAAUCACCCCAGUGUUCUUGCCUAGGAAAUCCUUUGGACAGAGGAGCCUGGUGGGCUGCAGUCCACAGGGUCACAGAGAGUCAGACAUGACUAAAUGCACACACACGUCUCCAUGUUGCAGAUGAGGAACCUGAGGCACAGAAGAGCCAGUAACUGGUCCGACUGCAGAGAGCCAAGAAGGGGCCGUAACUGUAAACUGAAGUCAUGGACUAGUCAUUCAUCAUGGGCUUUGGCUCAGUGACUUGAAACUGAAGGCUCAAGAGAAACAAAAGCACUGAUUGUGCAGAGGUGGCCGGACGCCCAGAGCCUCAGUGAAACCGACCAAAGAAGAAAGAAGUCGGACCUCAUCUGUGUAGAACUUCUGCAGAGAUAAUUUGCGUUUUAAAAGUAGCUUCUUUUCCACUGAGACUUCUAUUUUGGAAAUGUAUUAUGGGCGCUUUUUCAUCUGUUGAUCUGCUAAAUCUUCAUUUAACAAUCAUAGAAUGGUGUUUAAUGACAAUAAGACCGUUGCUUUCUCUAAUAAGAGUUAUUUUAAUUUAUGAGGAUUCUGUAAAUGUGUUUUAAUGCUAGUAAUUUGGUGUUUGAAAGUGGGGUUGUUAAACUAAUGGAUAAGUAGCAAACCUGAAUUUGCCAGCAAACAUUAUUUUUAGACACAAAAAGCCUUCUUGAGAAUGAAGCCAAUCCUAGCAAAGUAGAACCUGCAGAUUGAUAGUACUUGCUCACAUAAUUUAAGCCUCUGAAUACAGCUAUACCUGAAGCUGACUAUUUCUCACCACAUGAGCCAAUAUAUUCCAGCUUUUUCUUAGGCAAUUUUGAGCCAGAUUUCUGUUACUUGCUAUCAAGAGCUCUUAUUAAUGUAUUUCCCCAACACAUAACCUGCUUCUGUCAUUUUUCACACUGAAGUUAUCUAAUUCAGUCUAAAAAGUGAAAUUUCCAGGGGAAAAAAGAUGUUGCUUAUGUGUCCUUCCAUUACUUAAAAGAUCCAUCUGGAGUUUAUUUUAAAUAAUACACAUAUCUUUCAUUAAUACUUAAAAUAAUGCUGUAUGCUUUCAGCAUUAUGUAAUGCAAACAGAACCAAGAUUAUUACUUAAUACAGCUGCUGAAUUUGUCUAUUUACUUACUAGUUUAGCUGUUUCUCUCCCUACCUGUUUUCCUAAGACACUGUCAUAUUACAGCAAACAUUUAAGAUACAAGGGUGAAGAAAAAUAGCAAAACCUAAAAGCCUGUGGUAAGAUGAAGCC
This 1402-nucleotide long non-coding RNA is filed under the name Bos indicus x Bos taurus (hybrid cattle). Its description in RNAcentral is "lncRNA (ENSBIXG00000019747.1)". Lineage: Eukaryota; Metazoa; Chordata; Mammalia; Artiodactyla; Bovidae. The record is from RNAcentral.